UACGAGGGGGGCAAAUGUUGUUCGGAAUCACUGGGCGUAAAGGGAGCGUAGGCGGUUUUUUAAGUUAGGUGUUUAAUCCCGGGGCCCAACCCCGGACAGGCACCUAAAACUGGAAAACUUGAAUAGGGGAGAGGUCGGUGGAAUUGGAGGUGUAGCGGUGGAAUGCGUAGAGAUCUCCAAGAACACCAGUUGCGAAGGCGGCCGACUGGACCCAUAUUGACGCUGAGGCUCGAAAGCAUGGGGAGCAAAC
RNAcentral lists this ribosomal RNA (250 nucleotides) under uncultured bacterium. RNAcentral's name for it is "partial 16S ribosomal RNA". It matches the Rfam family "Bacterial small subunit ribosomal RNA", at positions 524 to 773 of the family's 1533-position model. The record is from RNAcentral.